This is a small RNA of 81 nucleotides. It matches the Rfam family "Burkholderia sRNA 16 (Bc_KC_sr1)". Rfam says of the family: Identified by RNA-seq, RACE and Northern blot. The record is from Rfam.
GUACGUGUGCGGCGAUGCCGCCGCGUCACCAUUCUCCUCUUGUCGUUGUUGCUCCGGGGCCCAUAGCCCCGGUUUUUUUUG